Molecule: ribosomal RNA, 397 nt
Filed under: uncultured bacterium
Lineage: Bacteria
Description: partial 16S ribosomal RNA
Rfam family: Bacterial small subunit ribosomal RNA
Source: RNAcentral
AUACGUAGGGGGCGAGCGUUGUCCGGAAUGAUUGGGCGUAAAGGGCGCGUAGGCGGCCCGGUAAGUCUGGAGUGAAAGUCCUGUUUUUAAGAUGGGAAUUGCUUUGGAUACUGUCGGGCUUGAGUGCAGGAGAGGUAAGUGGAAUUCCCAGUGUAGCGGUGAAAUGCGUAGAGAUUGGGAGGAACACCAGUGGCGAAGGCGACUUACUGGACUGUAACUGACGCUGAGGCGCGAAAGCGUGGGGAGCGAACAGGAUUAGAUACCCUGGUAGUCCACGCGGUAAACGAUGAAUGCUAGGUGUAGCGGGUAUCGACCCCUGCUGUGCCGCAGUAAACACAAUAAGCAUUCCGCCUGGGGAGUACGGCCGCAAGGUUGAAACUUAAAGGAAUUGACGGGG